This 497-nucleotide ribosomal RNA is filed under the name uncultured bacterium. Its description in RNAcentral is "partial 16S ribosomal RNA". It matches the Rfam family "Bacterial small subunit ribosomal RNA", at positions 28 to 507 of the family's 1533-position model. The record is from RNAcentral.
GAUGAACGCUGGCGGCGUGCCUAAUACAUGCAAGUCGAGCGAACGGACGAGAAGCUUGCUUCUCUGAUGUUAGCGGCGGACGGGUGAGUAACACGUGGAUAACCUACCUAUAAGACUGGGAUAACUUCGGGAAACCGGAGCUAAUACCGGAUAAUAUUUUGAACCGCAUGGUUCAAAAGUGAAAGACGGUCUUGCUGUCACUUAUAGAUGGAUCCGCGCUGCAUUAGCUAGUUGGUAAGGUAACGGCUUACCAAGGCAACGAUGCAUAGCCGACCUGAGAGGGUGGUCGGCCACACUGGAACUGAGACACGGUCCAGACUCCUACGGGAGGCAGCCGUAGGGAAUCUUGCGCAAUGGGCGAAAGCCUGACGGAGCAACGCCGCGUGAGUGAUGAAGGUCUUCGGAUCGUAAAACUCUGUUAUUAGGGAAGAACAUAUGUGUAAGUAACUGUGCACAUCUUGACGGUACCUAAUCAGAAAGCCACGGCUAACUACGUG